CCUACGGGGGGCAGCAGUGGGGAAUAUUGCGCAAUGGGCGAAAGCCUGACGCAGCGACGCCGCGUGAGGGAUGAAGGUCUUCGGAUCGGAAACCGCUGUCAGCAGGGAAGAACGGUCACUGUGCUAAUCAGCAGUGAAUUGACGGUACCUGCAAAGGAAGCACCGGCUAACGCCGUGCCAGCAGCCGCGGUAAUACGGAGGGUGCGAGCGUUAAUCGGAAUGACUGGGCGUAAAGCGCGCGUAGGCGGUAUGUCAAGUCAAGGGUGAAAUCCCCGCGCUCAACGUGGGAACUGCCUUUGAAACUUGCAAACUGGAGUGUGUGCGAGGUUAGUGGAAUUCCAGGUGUAGCAGUGAAAUCCGUAGAUAUCUGGAGGAACAUCAGUGGCGAAGGCGACUCUCUGGCCCAUAACUGACGCUGAGGAGCGAAAGCGUGGGUAGCAAACAGGAUUAGAUACCCCUGUAGUC
RNAcentral lists this ribosomal RNA (465 nucleotides) under uncultured bacterium. Its description in RNAcentral is "partial 16S ribosomal RNA". It matches the Rfam family "Bacterial small subunit ribosomal RNA", at positions 338 to 795 of the family's 1533-position model. The record is from RNAcentral.